UCAUGAGCAAGCGCAUACACGCACACGCGUACGCGGACAGAGCUGCUUGGAAAAGCGUAACCCCGUCGACUCCUCUACGCCCCGCCGCCGCGGGACAGCCGGCCGACUGCUGGACUAGGAACGCGAAGAAGAGGGAAAUCCGCGGCCUGGUCGCACUCCCAAGCGCCCAUCACCGACCGCGCAGACACACUCACAGACGCAGUCGACAGUCAGGCAGGCACAGAGAUCGCCGUACAUAUCUCCUUAAAGAGGUCAUCCUGAAACGGGUGCACCGACACGCACUUAACACAUACGCGCAUACACUUGACCCCGGGGGCGCCGCCUCCAGCGACCGUAGACGAUGUCCUCCCGAAUGUACGCGCGGCUCUCUCAGCGUCCCUCGUCGUCGGCGUCGUCGAGCCUGGUGCGCCGCGUGUGGCACGUGCCACUCGGGGCCGUCAGAAUCACUGAUGGCGCCGAAGCAGCAGCCGUGGUAACAAGGACAGCUUCUUCUGCGCCGAUCCUCACACCUGCGCGGGCGUGCACUCAUGUUGGCGCGCUGACUAUUUCAGGUGUGAUACUAGCGGCGUCUGCGAAGAAGACAAGGCGCCAGGUCGUCUCCGCCGCUGAUGACGGUGUACCUGCAGCGACGGCGAAAAAGCCGAAGAAGCAGCGAGCAACGCGGCAGCAGGCCGCGGCACCGCUACCUGCAAGCGCUCCAGUUGAGCGCGCCGUGCACCUCAGCGAUGCUGUGCAGGAGUGGGCGACGCUCCGGCGCCGCUGCCAGCGACAGCGGCGCCACCUAGUCGCCGGUGGAGCGUCCUCACCCUCGGCAAAUGUGGCAGCGUCGGAGCGCAGCACGAUGGCGGGUAACGCCGUAGGCGCAAGCCGUGAGGGUAACACGGCCUCCACCGGAGGCGGCGGCGGUGGCGCGCCGCCGGCGGAGAUAAGCGUGGCUGAACGCACGCAGCUGUUAUCCGUCCUCGCGAACGAGCCGAGCGCGUAUCCGCAGCUGUACACCAUGUUUUACCCACGAGGGCACGCGAACGUCGACGGCGAUCUGCGCGGCAGCCUCGCCUCGCCCACAGCGGUAGGGAAGACGCGGUGGCGCGUAGAGGGCACGCCGGCUUUGGUGCGCAGCGAGGCCGUAGCGAUGGAGCUGUUCACGCUGCUGCACGUUCACCACCAGGUUGUGUGCCAUUCGGACGAUGUUGCCGAGCUCAACGAGGCAGCAUGGUCCUCAUACCUGUCGGCGCUGCAGGCGCGACUUGAAGCCGAUAUGGGGCAGCCGGUGCGGCAGCAGUGCGCUUCCGUGGCGCUCGUCUUGCGGACACUCAUGGACGUGCACCGAGGUCAGAUGGACAGGCGGACGACCAUCGCGCUGAGCCAGCGCCUGAGCAGGGAGCAACAGGUUCAGAGCCGUGAAGAAAUCGCCCUCCGCAGGCGCGUGCUCGAGGCGCUCACACGGCUGAUGGCACCGGCGCACGCACUCGUCCGACAGCUUGAGGAGGCGGCGAGAAGUGAGACGGGAAAGUCGUCAUUGCCGUCCUCCGUGGAAAGCACGUAUGGCGACGCAACCACCUUGCUCCUGAUGGCUGCUGUCAGUGCGGUGGCCGUGGAGGCCGCCUCUGCGCUAUCGCACUCAAAGCCGGUGGCGGCAUCUGUCGGAGUCUCUCCCAUCGACGCGGUCCUCGUGGACGAGUGGACAACGUGGCGCGACAACGCGCGUAGCCGACUGGCGUCGCACCUUCAAGCGCUCGAGGCGUCCGUCCACAAAAGCGGUCUUGAUGUGGUAGCGGCGGUGUUUGUGGACAUCCUGCGCUGCAUGCGGUGGAUCGAGGAGCUCGGCGUGGUCCUCCUACCGGCAAUGGGAAGUGCAGUUGAGGAAGCGUGCCAGCGAAUCCUGCUUCAGGCAUGUCGAUGCGCGGAGACCGUCAAGGGCGCAGACCUCUUCGAGUACAUCUGCACGCCAGCGGUGACGGCGGAGCUGCGCCGACUCUCACCGGAGCGCACAAGCUACGCGCAGAUCAUUACGGACGUGUGCACCGUUGCCGUCGCCUACCUCCGGCAGCGACCGCAGCGUGUGCCGCAGUUGAUGGAACAUCUGGAAAAGGAGCACAUCGAUGCGCUGGCGAAGGCUGGUGCCCCUCGCGCACCACCUGCGCGCCCGCCGCUGCACAGCCCGCUGACGGAGCUGCUGUACGCGAUGCUGUGCGCGGGCUUCCCACCAGAGUCGCUGCUCACCAGCAGUCUCUGCGUCUCCCUGCCGCCGCGCGAUGUCAUUGACGUGGUGCGGGCGGUGAACCGCUUCUCCGCAUUGUGCGCCACGACCCCUCUGCCAGUCCGCACGCGCGCGGUGCUCGUGGAUCAAGUGGCAGGGAUGCUGGCGCAGUGCAACAAGGACAGCUACCGCGUCGUCGUCAGCUCCACAGACGAGCUUGGGGAAGAGGACGUUGCAGCGCAGGAGGAAGCAGGGGUGAUCGCCGCUGCGGCAGCAGGAAAGGGCGGCGGGCAUAAAGGCGCUGCUGCCAGCACCUUCAACUUGAUGCAGCGCAUGGCGGCGGGUGCGGCUGGCGCGGCAGCGCUGCCUGGCGCGUCUGUUGUGUUGUCUUCGACCGCGAUGCUGAGCUCGCAGUCGCAGGCGGUUGCAGCGGCCCGGAAGCGCCGUGUGAGGAACAGCAGCAAACGCGGCAAGCGGCGAACUGCCUCGGACGCCACCGAAGGCGACGGAAUGGCUGCGGCCGCCUCGGCGAUACUUACCCCAGCGUUGUACCGGCGACAGGUGAACCAUCUCCUCUUCGUUGGUCUGGAGGCGCUUGUCGAGUGUCUUCUCCGUGGCGACGCCGCGGCUGUCGAGAUGCUGACGCAGGCGGUGCUGCCGCUGCUGCAGCGUGAAGGGCGGGAGGCGGCGCUGGCCGAUGCGCUCGAGGUCGUCUGGGAGGCCUUCCGCUCUCGGCUGGCGGAAAUGGGCUGCGACGACGUGAGUGACCUCACCAGUGGCAGCCUGCGCAGUCCCGCCUCGGCAGCCGCUGCUGCCGGGAGGAGCGGCCGAUCCCCUGCACUCCCCGUAGCCCUGUCGGAAGACGUCGAGAAGGCGCUGGCGCUGUUGCCGGCGCUCUUCCUGCCACGCCUCACGGAGUCGGCGGUGAAGUUGCUGGGGUCAGGUCUGGAGCGUGCUGGCUCUGGAAGCGGUGCCGGCACGAGCAAGGCAACUGGAUUUCUUAGCCACGGCACUGUCGGGUGUCAUCAUCACUCGUUCACCGCCGCGGCGGUACCGAUGUCGGUGGAGGAGCUGACAGAGGUGGCGCUGCGGCUGAGCACGGCAGCCAUUCUGUGCGGCAUGCCAGCCGACACCGUCGCCCAGCUCACAGCCUUACACAGUACUCUGAAUAAGUCGCACGGCAAGGCUGCUGGGGACGGUGGUCAGGGCGACGCAGCAGGCGCGGUCGCGUGGGCGUUUGCGGUCGUGGAGCGGCUGGAGCGACUGCUAUCGCAGCUGUCGCGGCAGUCGCACGGCUUGACGCGGCAUCCGCACUCCGCCCACGCGCGCAACAGCGGCCUCGCCGUUUAUCAGCUGCUGACCAUCUACAUCGCCUCCACCGCCGCCGUCGCGAACAGCAUGACCCAGUCGAGUAAAUCCUCCGCCGCGUCCGCCAGCACAACUCGGCAGCGGUAUCGACACUACCUGCUGACGGUGGUGCACCUGCUGUACCGCCUGCGCACCGAGUACACGGUGGUAGUGGAGCCGGCCGCGCUGCGCAUGUUCCGCAUAGACGUAUUUGACCCCGCGCUGACAGCCGUCAUGUGCGCCGCGUCCCGCGGUGCCGAUGCGACGCCAGCGCUGCAGAUGCCACUCACAACGCUGACCGAGGUGAUGGUGGUCACGUGCGUUGCGGACAGCGUCCAGCACGUCUCUCCUGCCUUGGUGCGUGGCGUGGUGGCGGCGGUGGAGCAGCACCUGAAGGUGCGGGCCACGGACCUGCAGACGCCUGAGGAGGUCCCCCGCGCGGAGUCGACUGCGAAUACCGCCGAUGUUGUCGACACCGCAACUGGUGCGUUGGCGACGCAGCUGCUCUGUGCUGCUGCCACGCUGUGCCUCCGCGCUGAUGACGCGCUCACGUCGAUGCUGCUACAGCUGCUGGACCUGCUGAGUCCGCUGCUUGCCACAUCGCAGGCCAUGACGGUGCUGCAGCGCCUGCACGCGACUGGCGCACCGCUGCCAGCGCUUCCGGUGCGGCGACUCAUCGAGCGCCUUGUUGUAGCUCUACGCCAGGACUUGCAUGCAGCGACGGAGUCCGGCGGCGGCGCAGCAACCGCAACACGGCGUGCGACGACGGUGGCACAGCGCAUCACCAUCCUACACACCCUCAGCGCCGUGCAGAGAACCGCUGAGGCGGCUGUCGACGACGGCGACGCGGCGACGCUCCUGCAGCUACUGCGCACUGUCCCGUACGGGCCACUGCUCCAGUCCUUCUUGAAGCCGCAGGAGCUCGCGCAGCGUCGCUACACGGUGGGCGAGUGUGGCGCGCUCGUCGAGGUCGUCGCACACCUCACUGCUGGCGAAGCUGGCACGGCCAAGGGCAGCGGCUCACAGCGUAGCCAGACCGGAGGGGUUGAUGUAGCGGCGACGGAGGCGAAGGCCGUGGCCUUGGACGAGGCGCGGCAGUCGCAGCAGUCUACACCGAGAGAAGCAAAGGCGGAGCCCACAGCCUCGGCGACAGCGCGCUGGACGGCGUCGGAGGCGGAGGCGAUGCGGCUGCUGCCGCGAACCCUCGCCGUCUACGUACUGCAGGCAGUGCAGCUGCCGUACAAUGUGCACGACAUUCCGCUGCUGCUGCGCGGCUACGCGGCGCUGUCGGGGGAGAGCCAGCUGCAGCAGCAGGUGCUGCGCGGAUUCGUCUCGCGCACCAUGCGCGCUGCCCCGACGCUGACACCGGACGAAAUCGUCCUGUGCGUUGAGGCCUACUGCGCAGGUGGCGUAUAUCAUCAGCAGCUCUACGGCGUCCUGCUCGGUCGAGUCGCUGACAUGGGGCGCAAGUUCUCGUUGGAGCUCUCGGUGCGUCUGCUGCGUUGCGGUACGCAGGCCGGUAACGCGAGCGUGCGCACAGUGUGCGUGACGGCGGUGCAGCCGAUCUUCUCUGCGCAGGUGCGCGGGCUGCUGCAGAACGACCCGCACAUGCUCGUAUCGGUCGCCUCCACUGCCCUGGCCAUCCUCCACUGCCUGCGGGACUGCUUCCCGCACGAUGACAUCGGCGCUGCCGUACUCGCCAACGUCGCGCGCUACCACCACGACGCGAGCCUGCCAGUGGUGAAGGCCGCCUUGGAGCUGGCGGAGCGACGCGGCUCGACGGACUACGACGUCGUGCACAUCCUUGCUCGGCACUGCACGGAGCGAGUGCUGCCCGCCUGCUCCCCCGCGGAGCUGGCAAAUGUAUCGUACCUGCUGAUCGCGUGCGGGCUGCGCACGGCAGCGGUGAUGGAGGCUACGUACAGGCGUCUCAGCGAGGUGGUGCAUACCAUGCAAGCGCACAGCCUCACUCGACUGGCGCAAGGGCUGCUGCGCGCUUCUGUGGAGGUCGACACGACGGUCAUGGAGAAUGUGUGCAAGCGUAUCGUGGAGCUGGCCGAGGAGAGCGCCAUGGAGGCCACCGGUGAUGCUGCCGCCGCUGCCCCUCUGACAACGCAGCAGGUGUGCGUGCUGCUUCAGCUGCUGCGCAGCGUCGCCGGUCGUGUCAUGACGACCGUCAUGACGACGGUGGACGCCCUUCUCUCCUAUGUGCAGCGAGUGGUUCUGCAGGAACGGCGCGAUGGCGAGCCCCUCCAUGGUGACCAGCCGUCGUCGUACCAGCCACCGCGGCUCCUGGCAGGGAUGACCCUACGCGAAGUGGAAGCCGUCCUCCGCUGCUGCAUCGAUCUCUCAAGCAUGCCGAAGCGAUUCCAGCGACUCACCUACAGCCUCGCCGACUACACAGCCUACGUAAUGGCGCAGGACGCCUCGUCGCUUGCCGCUUCUGGGGGGGGCAGCGAAGGCCGCCUCCCGAACUCGACGGCAGACCGCCUGCUCAACGACGCACUGGUGUCGACCUCCUCGGCGUCGACGCGGUCCAUCGGUGCCGCGUCCCUCUCCGCUACGCCCGCGUGGCCAACAGAUCUGAUCCUCUUGGUCGACCUUAGUAGUCUCUUCAUCCGCCUUGGGGAGGCCGCACAUCCGGUCGUCCAGCAGCUCUUCGAGCGACAAUACGAUCGCCGCGGCGUCCUGCUCCAGCGCGCGCUGCUCGUUAAGACGACGAAGCAGUCGCUCGAGGCUGCUGGGCGUGACGUGCAUCCAGCGCUGUACAAGCUCGUCGUCGAUGGAGAGCUGCUGUGACGCGGUGGCCCACUGGCAGCAGCUAUCAAGCCUUACCUAUCCCCACCCCGUCCAUGCAUGUCUCCCUCUUCGCCUGUUCCCUCGUUGCUCGUAUUUGUUCGGCAUCCGUCUGCCUGUGUCUUAUAACGUGAGCUGGGAGGCCUCCAUCUGGGCGUGCAUGUGUGCACGGGUCUUGUGUGGCCCUCACUCUUCUCUGUUCUCCCCAUCACAGAAGCAGCCCCUACUCGACUGGCAUGGUCAUCGCUGUCGGCCAUCACGCAGGUGCGAACGCAUGCACUUGGGCCUGUGGAGUUGGGCCGUCGUCGGCCACAACGACUGGUGAACGACGGGCAGCGGUCUUGUUCGUGUGGCGAAGGCACGCUCCGUGUCCGUCUACGCGGGUGUAGGCAGGUUACCGGCCCAUGUGCGCGUCGUUGAAGGAAGAGCCGCACGUCGGAAGCAACCCUCGGCGCCCCUCUCUCGCACGCGUAGGCCGAUGCAUGUCCUCGUGCCGGUGUCUCUCACCCCCCCCUAAUCGUUUACCUUCGCUCUCUAGCCUGUACUCGCCGGAGGUAAGCAGCCGUGUCAGGCGACGCAGCGGCGGCGGUGGCGAACACCAUCGAGAGCCACGCUCGAAGCGGCACCCACUGAGCGCUUGUGGCGUCCUGCGCAGCAUCUGCCCGGCCUCUCCUCUCACCAUCGCUCACCACCACUGCCCGUCCUCUGAUGUCGCCUGUACCCCCCCGUCUCCUUCGCAUCUCUCAAAG
Molecule: unclassified non-coding RNA, 7092 nt
Filed under: Leishmania donovani
Lineage: Eukaryota; Euglenozoa; Kinetoplastea; Trypanosomatida; Trypanosomatidae
Description: gene:LdHU3.03.0960(CDS-product:hypothetical_prote in_conserved)
Source: RNAcentral